CAGAAAAUAGUUUAUAAAAAAUAAUAGUUUUGGAGAUUAUAGAAGUUUUGGCUUUUCUGA
Molecule: transfer RNA, 60 nt
Filed under: Proasellus meridianus
Lineage: Eukaryota; Metazoa; Arthropoda; Malacostraca; Isopoda; Asellidae
Description: transfert RNA-P(CCA)
Source: RNAcentral